Paramisgurnus dabryanus is the source of this 723-nucleotide non-coding RNA. NCBI's taxonomy places the organism in Eukaryota, Metazoa, Chordata, Actinopteri, Cypriniformes, Cobitidae. The record is from RefSeq and is a predicted model, not a curated record.
UGGGUUUGUGCCCCUCCUAUUUUUGUAAUGUGAGGGUUUAGCCAAUGGGUAGUGAUUUUGAAGGUAUAAAAGCGUAACGCAUCAGUCGUAGGUGUGCGUCAUUGAGGGGGGCCGUUACGUCAUCAGCGCGCCGCCGCUUGUUUGCUCGAGUGGACUGUUUACAUCCGUGGUGAGUGUAUUGUUUGGCUUCGCAACACUUUAAACCGAGCUAUAUUGGAGCGCUAAUACUGAUUAUUUUCUAGUUGGUAGAGACUGCCGAAGCUGCUAACCACUGUACAAAAGUCUAUUUUGCUGCGUGAGGAACCAAAUGUGGACAAUUGAGACGGAUCUGGGCGCUGGGUGCAGACGAGUGGCUCUAUUGUGGUGGUGGUGUGUCCUUCACCGUGUGUUGUGCUUCUCACUGACACCAGUCUGUGUGUGUGUGCUAUGUUCACCUGAUUGUAGUGAUUUAAAUUUGGCAUAUGAGACUGCCCCAGUUGAACAGCAGCGUGGUGCUGAUCAGUGACGAUUUCUCGGUGGUGGAUCUGGGCGCUGGGUGCAGACGAGUGGCUCUAUUGUGGUGGUGGUGUGUCCUUCACCGUGUGUUGUGCUUCUCACUGACACCAGUCUGUGUGUGUGUGCUAUGUUCACCUGAUUGUAGUGAUUUAAAUUUGGCAUAUGAGACUGCCCCAGUUGGUAAGACCCAGCUCCUUGCCCACAAAAGAAGUGUUAUGUGUAAUGAGU